This 52-nucleotide microRNA precursor is filed under the name Marmota monax (woodchuck). Lineage: Eukaryota; Metazoa; Chordata; Mammalia; Rodentia; Sciuridae. The record is from RNAcentral.
UUUUUGUUAUAAGUAUAUCCCAUAAAAUAUUUGGCACAUACUUAUACUAAAA